UUUGAAGUCCUAGCAAUUUUA
RNAcentral lists this non-coding RNA (21 nucleotides) under Caenorhabditis elegans. The record is from RNAcentral. Lineage: Eukaryota; Metazoa; Nematoda; Chromadorea; Rhabditida; Rhabditidae.